This 247-nucleotide ribosomal RNA is filed under the name uncultured bacterium. RNAcentral describes it as "partial 16S ribosomal RNA". It matches the Rfam family "Bacterial small subunit ribosomal RNA", at positions 107 to 353 of the family's 1533-position model. The record is from RNAcentral.
UGAGUAAUGUCUGGGAAACUGCCUGAUGGAGGGGGAGUAACUACUGGAAACGGUAGCUAAUACCGCAUAACGUCGCAAGACCAAAGAGGGGGACCGUUCGGGCCUCUUGCCAUCAGAUGUGCCCAGAUGGGAUUAGCUAGUAGGUGGGGUAACGGCUCACCUAGGCGACGAUCCCUAGCUGGUCUGAGAGGAUGACCAGCCACACUGGAACUGAGACACGGUCCAGACUCCUACGGGAGGCAGCAUG